AGUGGGGAAUCUUGCGCAAUGGGCGAAAGCCUGACGCAGCCAUGCCGCGUGAAUGAUGAAGGUCUUAGGAUUGUAAAAUUCUUUCACCGGGGACGAUAAUGACGGUACCCGGAGAAGAAGCCCCGGCUAACUUCGUGCCAGCAGCCGCGGUAAUACGAAGGGGGCUAGCGUUGCUCGGAAUUACUGGGCGUAAAGGGAGCGUAGGCGGAUAGUUUAGUCAGAGGUGAAAGCCCAGGGCUCAACCUUGGAAUUGCCUUUGAUACUGGCUAUCUUGAGUAUGGGAGAGGUGUGUGGAACUCCGAGUGUAGAGGUGAAAUUCGUAGAUAUUCGGAAGAACACCAGUGGCGAAGGCGACACACUGGCCCAUUACUGACGCUGAGGCUCGAAAGCGUGGGGAGCAAA
This 402-nucleotide ribosomal RNA is filed under the name uncultured Caulobacter sp. RNAcentral's name for it is "bacterial SSU rRNA". It matches the Rfam family "Bacterial small subunit ribosomal RNA", at positions 353 to 772 of the family's 1533-position model. Lineage: Bacteria; Pseudomonadati; Pseudomonadota; Alphaproteobacteria; Caulobacterales; Caulobacteraceae. The record is from RNAcentral.